RNAcentral lists this ribosomal RNA (872 nucleotides) under uncultured bacterium. RNAcentral describes it as "bacterial SSU rRNA". It matches the Rfam family "Bacterial small subunit ribosomal RNA", at positions 11 to 914 of the family's 1533-position model. The record is from RNAcentral.
GUUUGAUCCUGGCUCGAAUGAACGCUGGCGGCAGGCCUAACACAUGCAAGUCGAACGGAGUUAUAUUGUAGCUUGCUAUGGUAUAACUUAGUGGCAGACGGGUGAGUAAUGUAUAGGAAUCUACCUAGUAGUACGGAAUAAUUGUUGGAAACGGCAACUAAUACCGUAUACGCCCUACGGGGGAAAAAUUUAUUGCUAUUAGAUGAGCCUAUAUUAGAUUAGCUAGUUGGUGGAGUAAUAGCCUACCAAGGCAAUGAUCUAUAGCUGAUCUGAGAGGAUGAUCAGCCACACUGGAACUGAGAUACGGUCCAGACUCCUACGGGAGGCAGCAGUGGGGAAUAUUGGACAAUGGGCGAAAGCCUGAUCCAGCCAUGCCGCAUGAGUGAAGAAGGCCUUUGGGUUGUAAAGCUCUUUUAGUGAGGAAGAUAAUGACGGUACUCACAGAAGAAGUCCUGGCUAACUCCGUGCCAGCAGCCGCGGUAAUACGGAGAGGGCUAGCGUUAUUCGGAAUUAUUGGGCGUAAAGGGCGCGUAGGCGGAUUAGUAAGUUAAAAGUGAAAUCCCAAGGCUCAACCUUGGAAUUGCUUUUAAAACUGCUAAUCUAGAGAUUGAAAGAGGAUAGAGGAAUUCCUAGUGUAGAGGUGAAAUUCGUAAAUAUUAGGAGGAACACCAGUGGCGAAGGCGUCUAUCUGGUUCAAAUCUGACGCUGAGGCGCGAAGGCGUGGGGAGCAAACAGGAUUAGAUACCCUGGUAGUCCACGCUGUAAACGAUGAAUGUUAAAUAUGGGAAGUUUUACUUUCUGUAUUACAGCUAACGCGUUAAACAUUCCGCCUGGGGACUACGGUCGCAAGAUUAAAACUCAAAGGAAUUGAC